GGCUGGUCCGAUGGUAGUGGGUUAUCAGAACUUACUAACAUUAGUGUCACUAAAGUUGGUGUUCAAUCCCCCACUGCUAAAUUUGACUGGCUAAAA
RNAcentral lists this Y RNA (96 nucleotides) under Propithecus coquereli (Coquerel's sifaka). RNAcentral's name for it is "Y RNA (ENSPCOG00000011001.1)". It matches the Rfam family "Y RNA". Rfam says of the family: Y RNAs are components of the Ro ribonucleoprotein particle (Ro RNP), in association with Ro60 and La proteins. The Y RNAs and Ro60 and La proteins are well conserved, but the function of the Ro RNP is not known. The record is from RNAcentral. Lineage: Eukaryota; Metazoa; Chordata; Mammalia; Primates; Indriidae.